UCCAGCCAUGCCGCGUGUGUGAAGAAGGCCCUCGGGUUGUAAAGCACUUUCAGCGAGGAAGAACGCCUAACGGUUAAUACCCGCUAGGAAAGACAUCACUCGCAGAAGAAGCACCGGCUAACUCCGUGCCAGCAGCCGCGGUAAUACGGAGGGUGCAAGCGUUAAUCGGAAUUACUGGGCGUAAAGCGCGCGUAGGUGGCUUGAUAAGCCGGUUGUGAAAGCCCCGGGCUCAACCUGGGAACGGCAUCCGGAACUGUCAAGCUAGAGUGCAGGAGAGGAAGGUAGAAUUCCCGGUGUAGCGGUGAAAUGCGUAGAGAUCGGGAGGAAUACCAGUGGCGAAGGCGGCCUUCUGGACUGACACUGACACUGAGGUGCGAAAGCGUGGGUAGCAAACAGGAUUAGAUACCCUGGUAGUCCACGCCGUAAACGAUGUCGACCAGCCGUUGGGUGCCUAGCGCACUUUGUGGCGAAGUUAACGCGAUAAGUCGACCGCCUGGGGAGUACGGCCGCAAGGUUAAAACUCAAAUGAAUUGACGGGGGCCCGCACAAGCGGUGGAGCAUGUGGUUUAAUUCGAUGCAACGCGAAGAACCUUACCUACUCUUGACAUCCUGCGAAUUUGGUAGAGAUACCUUAGUGCCUUCGGGAACGCAGAGACAGGUGCUGCAUGGCUGUCGUCAGCUCGUGUUGUGAAAUGUUGGGUUAAGUCCCGUAACGAGCGCAACCCUUGUCCUUAUUUGCCAGCGCGUAAUGGCGGGAACUCUAAGGAGACUGCCGGUGACAAACCGGAGGAAGGUGGGGACGACGUCAAGUCAUCAUGGCCCUUACGAGUAGGGCUACACACGUGCUACAAUGGUCGGUACAAAGGGUUGCCAACUCGCGAGAGUGAGCCAAUCCCGAAAAGCCGAUCUCAGUCCGGAUCGGAGUCUGCAACUCGACUCCGUGAAGUCGGAAUCGCUAGUAAUCGUGGAUCAGAAUGCCACGGUGAAUACGUUCCCGGGCCUUGUAC
This 1007-nucleotide ribosomal RNA is filed under the name Vreelandella aquamarina. RNAcentral describes it as "bacterial SSU rRNA". It matches the Rfam family "Bacterial small subunit ribosomal RNA", at positions 387 to 1386 of the family's 1533-position model. The record is from RNAcentral. Lineage: Bacteria; Pseudomonadati; Pseudomonadota; Gammaproteobacteria; Oceanospirillales; Halomonadaceae.